This 368-nucleotide ribosomal RNA is filed under the name uncultured organism. RNAcentral describes it as "bacterial SSU rRNA". It matches the Rfam family "Bacterial small subunit ribosomal RNA", at positions 526 to 896 of the family's 1533-position model. The record is from RNAcentral.
CGAAGGAUCCUAGCGUUGUCCGGAUUCACUGGGUUUAAAGGGUGCGUAGGCGGAUUUUUAAGUCAGUGGUGAAAGCCGGCAGCUUAACUGUCGAAUUGCCAUUGAAACUGAAAGUCUCGAGUACGGUUGAGGUGGCUGGAAUGUAUCAUGUAGCGGUGAAAUGCUUAGAUAUGAUACAGAACACCAAUUGCGAAGGCAAGUCACUAAACCGUAACUGACGCUGAGGCACGAAAGCGUGGGGAGCAAACAGGAUUAGAUACCCUGGUAGUCCACGCCCUAAACGUUGAUAACUCGCUGUUGGCGAUACACUGUCAGCGGCUAAGCGAAAGCGGUAAGUUAUCCACCUGGGGAGUACGGCCGCAAGGUUG